Molecule: ribosomal RNA, 253 nt
Filed under: uncultured bacterium
Lineage: Bacteria
Description: partial 16S ribosomal RNA
Rfam family: Bacterial small subunit ribosomal RNA
Source: RNAcentral
UACGUAGGGUGCGAGCGUUAAUCGGAAUUACUGGGCGUAAAGGGCACGCAGGUGGUACGUUAAGUCAGAUGUGAAAUCCCCGGGCUUAACCCGGGAACGGCAUUUGAAACUGGGGUACUGGAGUCCUGUAGAGGGGGGUGGAAUUCCAGGUGUAGCGGUGAAAUGCGUAGAGAUCUGGAGGAAUACCGGUGGCGAAGGCGGCCCCCUGGACAGAGACUGACGCUGAGGUGCGAAAGCGUGGGGAGCAAACAGG